This 492-nucleotide ribosomal RNA is filed under the name uncultured bacterium. RNAcentral's name for it is "partial 16S ribosomal RNA". It matches the Rfam family "Bacterial small subunit ribosomal RNA", at positions 29 to 507 of the family's 1533-position model. The record is from RNAcentral.
AGUGAACGCUGGCGGUAGGCCUAACACAUGCAAGUCGAACGGCAGCACAGUAAGAGCUUGCUCUUACGGGUGGCGAGUGGCGGACGGGUGAGGAAUACAUCUGAAUCUACUUUUUCGUGGGGGAUAACGUAGGGAAACUUACGCUAAUACCGCAUACGACCUACGGGUGAAAGCAGGGGAUCUUCGGACCUUGCGCGAUUGAAUGAGCCGAUGUCGGAUUAGCUAGUUGGCGGGGUAAAGGCCCACCAAGGCGACGAUCCGUAGCUGGUCUGAGAGGAUGAUCAGCCACACUGGAACUGAGACACGGUCCAGACUCCUACGGGAGGCAGCAGUGGGGAAUAUUGGACAAUGGGCGCAAGCCUGAUCCAGCCAUACCGCGUGGGUGAAGAAGGCCUUCGGGUUGUAAAGCCCUUUUGUUGGGAAAGAAAAGCAGCAGGUUAAUACCCCGCUGUUCUGACGGUACCCAAAGAAUAAGCGCCGGCUAACUUCGUG